This 1131-nucleotide unclassified non-coding RNA is filed under the name Primulina sp. 26 JT-2014. RNAcentral describes it as "partial 166FR". Lineage: Eukaryota; Viridiplantae; Streptophyta; Magnoliopsida; Lamiales; Gesneriaceae. The record is from RNAcentral.
UUUCUUCUCUAUUACACUAUAUCAUUUUAUGCUGGUAGUUUACCUUCUUGGUCAUUUCAUAUAUGCCGUUAUUUGUAAUGCAUUUAUCUUGCUGUGGAUUGAUGGUUCGGGCUAGAAUUUAAUUUGGUCGCUUCUGACCUGUAACUUCUCCUGUUAUGUUUAACUUUGAAAUGCUUUCAAACAAUUUGGCUUGUGAGCUAUAAAUUAAUCGCCUUUUUUUGUUCUGGGUCUGAUUACUGAGCCGGGAGGGAAAAUAAAGAAAGAAUCUCAGCACCGAUUAAACUCAUUUUACUUCUGCUUCCGUUGGUACAGCCGGAGAGGAACUCAAACAUUGUCUCCCGAUCUAUUAUUUCAAGAUGGAAUUGAACCGCUAGGACAAUUUGGUAAAUUCCAUUGCAAAAUGCAGAGCCUAAUUCUAGAAUGCUCUACUCAAUAUUUUCCAAUAAACGUUGUAUUUGAAAUUUUAGAUUUGAUUAAAAAUAAGGAGUAAGCACAACCCUCUUGUUAGAGUUUAAAUGUGAGGGGUGAGAAAGUGGUGAAAAAUUGUGGAAUAAAACUGUUGUGUGGAUAAAGGGUGCAUAAGAUCUUGUGAGGUGCACGCAUAUUUUCCAAUAAACGUUGUAUUUGAAAUUUUAGAUUUGAUUAAAAAUAAGGAGUAAGCACAACCCUCUUGUUAGAGUUUAAAUGUGAGGGGUGAGAAAGUGGUGAAAAAUUGUGGAAUAAAACUGUUGUGUGGAUAAAGGGUGCAUAAGAUCUUGUGAGGUGAUUGCUUCUAAAGCAUUAUGCUGCAAAUUUAUUGUAUUUGACAACUUGUAUCAUUGAAUCAGCAUGUUCAAGCUAAUGCUCAUUACGUGCGAAUGUUCACUUCUCUCAUUUAAUGUGGAAUUAGAGUUUAAAAAUAGAAUGAAAUAUCUUUAGUUUUUCUAAAUGGUAAUUUGGGCUUGGUUGGAGGUGAGUUUGAGCGAGUAGCAGGACACACAUCAAAAGUGCACACAUAUGGCACACAGUUUGUUAUUACUGGAUUCAACUAUUUGUUUUUGUGCAACUGGUGCUGAAAUUUGCAUAUUUUGUUAUGUAUAAAGGUACAGGUGAUUUGGGCGAGCGACCCAGUUUCACAACGGAGGGGAGGAG